Molecule: ribosomal RNA, 468 nt
Filed under: uncultured bacterium
Lineage: Bacteria
Description: partial 16S ribosomal RNA
Rfam family: Bacterial small subunit ribosomal RNA
Source: RNAcentral
GACGAACGCUGGCGGCGUGCUUAACACAUGCAAGUCGAACGGACAGGCCCUGCUCUUGUUGGUUGCUCGUUUGGCGAACGGGUGAGUAACACGUGAGUAUCCUGCCCUUGUCUUUGUGAUAACUUUACGAAACUGGGGCUAAUACCGGAUAUGAGCUCCUGCUCCAUGUUGGGGGUUGGAAAGUUUCGGCGGUUGGGGAUGGUCUCGCGGCUUAUCCGCUUGUUGGUGUGGUAGUGGCUUACCAAGGCUUCGACGGGUAGCCGGCCUGAGAGGUUGACCGGCCACAAUGGGACUGAGAGACGGCCCAGAAGCGUACGGGAGGCAGCAGUGGGGAAUAUUGCACAAUGGGCGGAAGCCUGAUGCAACAACGCCGCGUGCGGAAUGACGGCCUUCGGGUGGUAAACCGCUUUCGCAUGUGACGAAGCGUGAGUGACGGUAAUGGGUAAAGAAGCACCGGCUAACUACGUG